Molecule: transfer RNA, 73 nt
Filed under: Dreissena polymorpha
Lineage: Eukaryota; Metazoa; Mollusca; Bivalvia; Myida; Dreissenidae
Description: transfer RNA lysine (anticodon UUU)
Rfam family: tRNA
About the family: Transfer RNA (tRNA) molecules are approximately 80 nucleotides in length. Their secondary structure includes four short double-helical elements and three loops (D, anti-codon, and T loops). Further hydrogen bonds mediate the characteristic L-shaped molecular structure. tRNAs have two regions of fundamental functional importance: the anti-codon, which is responsible for specific mRNA codon recognition, and the 3' end, to which the tRNAs corresponding amino acid is attached (by aminoacyl-tRNA synthetases). tRNAs cope with the degeneracy of the genetic code in two manners: having more than one tRNA (with a specific anti-codon) for a particular amino acid; and 'wobble' base-pairing, i.e. permitting non-standard base-pairing at the 3rd anti-codon position.
Source: RNAcentral
GCCCGGCUAGCUCAGUCGGUAGAGCAUCAGACUUUUAAUCUGAGGGUCGUGGGUUCGAGUCCCACGUUGGGCG